AAUGAACGUUGGCGGCAUGGAUUAGGCAUGCAAGUCGGGGGAAUCCCAGCAAUGGGGGAACCGGCGUAAGGGGCAGUAAGGCAUGGGUACCUACCUUGGGGUUCGGGAUAGCCAUCAGAGAUGGUGGGUAAUACCGGAUGACGUCGUGAGACAAAAGAUUUAUCGCCCUUAGAGGGGCCCAUGUGAUAUUAGCUAGUUGGUGGGGUAACGGCCCACCAAGGCGAAGAUGUCUAGCGGGUGUGAGAGCACGACCCGCGCCACUCGCACUGAGACACUGGCGAGACACCUACGGGUGGCUGCAGUCGAGGAUCUUCGGCAAUGAGCGCAAGCUUGACCGAGCGAUGCCGCGUGAGCGAUGAAGGCCUUCGGGUUGUAAAGCUCUUUAGUGGGGGAGAAAAGCCGCAAGGUGUGAUCUAUCCCAAAAAUAAGCACGGGCUAAGUUCGUGCCAGCAGCCGCAGUAA
RNAcentral lists this ribosomal RNA (462 nucleotides) under uncultured bacterium. RNAcentral's name for it is "partial 16S ribosomal RNA". It matches the Rfam family "Bacterial small subunit ribosomal RNA", at positions 29 to 523 of the family's 1533-position model. The record is from RNAcentral.